AUGAAAGAAACGCAGAGCGAAGGGUCCUUGGCCCAAACACAGGAUGGCAUGACCCAGCCAGGCACUUGGCUUUCUGGAAGGACCCUGUGCCCUUGCCGCCUGGCAGGUUCGACCAUCUGGUGGCCAUCGAGCUCCCGGGAAGGGCUGUGCGUGGCAAUUACUACAAUGCGGGAGAUGAAGAUCCAGCCCUUGGUGGACCCUGUGGGUAAUCCUUUCAGAUCACAGAGGAUUCCUGGAAUCUCGUCGAGAAUUUGAUAGUUUUCAAAGAGGUUUCACAACCAUUGCAUUGUUUAAAACCCGUCCUACGCCUCUCAAGGACUCUGUAAAGUGAGGACAACAGGGCCCUGGACAGGACACCCUGGGAGCAAACACCAUGAACUGCAUGGAUGCUGAACAGCAGAGACAGAUGUAGACAAGACACAGAGGCCAGGGGCAG
This 436-nucleotide long non-coding RNA is filed under the name Sus scrofa (pig). RNAcentral's name for it is "lncRNA (ENSSSCG00015016821.1)". Lineage: Eukaryota; Metazoa; Chordata; Mammalia; Artiodactyla; Suidae. The record is from RNAcentral.